AAUGAACGCUGGCGGCAGGCCUAACACAUGCAAGUCGAACGGAUCCUUCGGGAUUAGUGGCGGACGGGUGAGUAACGCGUGGGAACAUACCCAAAGGUACGGAAUAGCCUCGGGAAACUGGGAGUAAUAACGUAUGUGCUCGAAAGAGGAAAGAUUUAUCGCCUUUGGAUUGGCCCGCGUGGGAUUAGGUAGUUGGUGGGGUAAUGGCCUACCAAGCCGACGGUCCAUAGCUGGUUUGAGAGGAUGAUCAGCCACACUGGGACUGAGACACGGCGCAGACGCCUACGGGAGGCAGCAGUGGGGAAUCUUAGACAAGGGGGGAAACCCUGAUCUAUCCAUGCCGCGUGAUCGAUGAAGGCCUUAGGGUCGUAAAGAUCUUUCAGGUGGGAAGAUAAUGACUGUACCACCAGAAGAAGCCCCGGCUAACUCCGUGCCAGCCGCCGCCGUAA
This 449-nucleotide ribosomal RNA is filed under the name uncultured bacterium. RNAcentral's name for it is "partial 16S ribosomal RNA". It matches the Rfam family "Bacterial small subunit ribosomal RNA", at positions 29 to 523 of the family's 1533-position model. The record is from RNAcentral.